AACUUCCAACGGUGGAUCCCUUGGCUCGCGCGUCGAUGAAGACCGUAGCAAAGCGCGAGAGUGUGCUGUGAAUUGCAGAAUUCAGUGAAUCAUCGAAUUGUCGAACGCACAUUGCGCCUUGCCGGCUCUCCGGCGAGGCACGUUCGGCUGAGGGCCG
Molecule: ribosomal RNA, 157 nt
Filed under: Gigantopelta aegis
Lineage: Eukaryota; Metazoa; Mollusca; Gastropoda; Neomphalida; Peltospiridae
Description: 5.8S ribosomal RNA
Rfam family: 5.8S ribosomal RNA
About the family: 5.8S ribosomal RNA (5.8S rRNA) is a component of the large subunit of the eukaryotic ribosome.
Source: RNAcentral